RNAcentral lists this ribosomal RNA (253 nucleotides) under uncultured bacterium. RNAcentral describes it as "partial 16S ribosomal RNA". It matches the Rfam family "Bacterial small subunit ribosomal RNA", at positions 524 to 776 of the family's 1533-position model. The record is from RNAcentral.
UACGGAGGGGGCAAGCGUUAUUCGGAAUUACUGGGCGUAAAGGGCUCGUAGGCGGCCAACUAAGUCAGACGUGAAAUCCCUCGGCUUAACCGGGGAACUGCGUCUGAUACUGGAUGGCUUGAGUUCGGGAGAGGGAUGCGGAAUUCCAGGUGUAGCGGUGAAAUGCGUAGAUAUCUGGAGGAACACCGGUGGCGAAGGCGGCAUCCUGGACCGAUACUGACGCUGAGGAGCGAAAGCCAGGGGAGCAAACGGG